AAUCAACGCUGGCGGCGCGCUUAACACAUGCAAGUCGAACGAGAAAGUCCGCAAGGAUGAGUACAGUGGCGUACGGGUGAGUAACACGUGGAUAAUCCACCUCUUUGUGGGGAAUAACUUUGGGAACCGAAGCUAAUACCGCAUAAGCCUGAGAAGGGAAAGCCGCAAGGCGCAGAGAGAGGAGUCCGCGGCUGAUUAGCUAGUUGGUAGGGUAAAAGGCCUACCAAGGCUGAGANCGGUAGCCGGCCUGAGAGGGCACACGGCCACACUGGCACUGCAACACGGGCCAGACUCCUACGGGAGGGCAGCAGUGGGGAAUCUUGCACAAUGGACGAAAGUCUGAUGCAGCGACGCCGCGUGCGCGAUGACG
RNAcentral lists this ribosomal RNA (370 nucleotides) under uncultured bacterium. RNAcentral describes it as "bacterial SSU rRNA". It matches the Rfam family "Bacterial small subunit ribosomal RNA", at positions 32 to 413 of the family's 1533-position model. The record is from RNAcentral.